GCAAGUCGAGGGGCAGCACUAGGUAGUAAUACUGGAGGUGGCGACCGGCGCACGGGUGCGUAACGCGUAUCCAACCUUCCCCGAUACCUCUUGGAUAGCCUUCCGAAAGGGAGAUUAAUACAAGAUGGUGUUUCAAUUCCGCAUGUUAUUGAAACUAAAGAUUUAAUCGGUAUCGGAUGGGGAUGCGUAGGAUUAGGUAGUAGGCGGGGUAACGGCCCACCUAGCCGACGAUCCUUAGGGGUUCUGAGAGGAAGGUCCCCCACACUGGUACUGAGACCACGGACCAGACUCCUACGGGAGGCAGCAGUGAGGGAAUAUUGGUCAAUGGGCGAGAGCCUGAACCAGCCAAGUAGCGUGAAGGAGGACUGCCCUAUGGGUUGUAAACUUCUUUGUUCGGGAAUAAAGUGCAGUACGCGUACUGUUUUGUAUAUACCGUUCGAAUAAGCAUCGGCUAAUUCCGUG
This 462-nucleotide ribosomal RNA is filed under the name uncultured bacterium. Its description in RNAcentral is "bacterial SSU rRNA". It matches the Rfam family "Bacterial small subunit ribosomal RNA", at positions 57 to 507 of the family's 1533-position model. The record is from RNAcentral.